This 497-nucleotide ribosomal RNA is filed under the name uncultured bacterium. RNAcentral describes it as "partial 16S ribosomal RNA". It matches the Rfam family "Bacterial small subunit ribosomal RNA", at positions 28 to 507 of the family's 1533-position model. The record is from RNAcentral.
GAUGAACGCUGGCGGCGUGCCUAAUACAUGCAAGACGAGCGAACAGACGAGGAGCUUGCUCCUCUGACGUUAGCGGCGGACGGGUGAGUAACACGUGGAUAACCUACCUAUAAGACUGGGAUAACUUCGGGAAACCGGAGCUAAUACCGGAUAAUAUAUUGAACCGCAUGGUUCAAUAGUGAAAGACGGUUUUGCUGUCACUUAUAGAUGGAUCCGCGCCGCAUUAGCUAGUUGGUAAGGUAACGGCUUACCAAGGCAACGAUGCGUAGCCGACCUGAGAGGGUGAUCGGCCACACUGGAACUGAGACACGGUCCAGACUCCUACGGGAGGCAGCAGUAGGGAAUCUUCCGCAAUGGGCGAAAGCUUGACGGAGCAACGCCGCGUAAGUGACGAAGGUCUUCGGAUCGUAAAACUCUGUUAUUAGGGAAGAACAAAUGUGUAAGUAACUAUGCACGUCUUGACGGUACCUAAUCAGAAAGCCACGGCUAACUACGUG